CAAGACGUAGCUAUAACCCUAAAGCACUCAGCUUACGCCUGAGAGAUAUCUGCCCACCAGAUCGCCUUGA
RNAcentral lists this transfer RNA (70 nucleotides) under Brachygalba albogularis. Its description in RNAcentral is "tRNA-Val". Lineage: Eukaryota; Metazoa; Chordata; Aves; Piciformes; Galbulidae. The record is from RNAcentral.